Molecule: ribosomal RNA, 305 nt
Filed under: uncultured bacterium
Lineage: Bacteria
Description: bacterial SSU rRNA
Rfam family: Bacterial small subunit ribosomal RNA
Source: RNAcentral
ACCUACGGGAGGCAGCAGUGAGGAAUAUUGGUCAAUGGUCGGGAGACUGAACCAGCCAAGCCGCGUGAGGGAGGAAGGUACAGAGUAUCGUAAACCUCUUUUGUCAGGGAACAAAGGCGGGGACGUGUCCCCGGAUGAGUGUACCUGAAGAAAAAGCAUCGGCUAACUCCGUGCCAGCAGCCGCGGUAAUACGGAGGAUGCGAGCGUUAUCCGGAUUUAUUGGGUUUAAAGGGUGCGCAGGCGGUCUGUUAAGUCAGUGGUCAAAGCCCGGGGCUCAACCCCGGCCCGCCGUUGCAACUGGCAGU